This 497-nucleotide ribosomal RNA is filed under the name uncultured bacterium. RNAcentral's name for it is "partial 16S ribosomal RNA". It matches the Rfam family "Bacterial small subunit ribosomal RNA", at positions 28 to 507 of the family's 1533-position model. The record is from RNAcentral.
GACGAACGCUGGCGGCGUGCCUAAUACAUGCAAGUUGAGCGCCGAAGGAUGGUGCUCGUACCAACUGGGUGAGCGGCGGACGGGCGAGUAAGGAGUGGGGAAUCAGCCUCUGAGCGGGGGACGACAACUGGAAAAGAAUGAUAAUAACGCAUAAAAACACUAAACACAAGAUUCAAGUUUGAAAGAUACAUUUGCCUCACUAAAAGAUGAUUCCGCGUUGUAUUAGUUAGUUGGUGAGGUAAAGGCAAACCAAGGGGAAGAUACAUAGCCGGCCUGAGAGGGUGGACGGCCACAUUUGGACUGGAGCACGGCCCAAACCCCUGCGGGAGGGAGCAGGAGGGAAACUUUGGCCAUUGACCAAAGUCUGACCGAGCACCUCCGCGGUAGUGAAGAAGGGUUUCGGAUCGUAAAACUCUUUUUGUAGAGAAGAACGUUGGUGAGAGUGAAAAGCUCAUCAAGUGACGGUAACUACCCAGAAAGGGACGGCUAACUACGUG